RNAcentral lists this ribosomal RNA (460 nucleotides) under uncultured bacterium. RNAcentral describes it as "partial 16S ribosomal RNA". It matches the Rfam family "Bacterial small subunit ribosomal RNA", at positions 338 to 795 of the family's 1533-position model. The record is from RNAcentral.
CCUACGGGAGGCAGCAGUGAGGAAUAUUGGUCAAUGGACGAGAGUCUGAACCAGCCAAGUAGCGUGAAGGAUGACUGCCCUAUGGGUUGUAAACUUCUUUUAUAUGGGAAUAAAACGUUCCACGUGUGGGAUUUUGUAUGUACCAUAUGAAUAAGGAUCGGCUAACUCCGUGCCAGCAGCCGCGGUAAUACGGAGGAUCCGAGCGUUAUCCGGAUUUAUUGGGUUUAAAGGGAGCGUAGAUGGAUUGUUAAGUCAGUUGUGAAAGUUUGCGGCUCAACCGUAAAAUUGCAGUUGAAACUGGCAGUCUUGAGUACAGUAGAGGUGGGCGGAAUUCGUGGUGUAGCGGUGAAAUGCUUAGAUAUCACGAAGAACUCCGAUUGCGAAGGCAGUUCACUGGACUGCAACUGACACUGAGGCUCGAAAGUGUGGGUAUCAAACAGGAUUAGAUACCCUUGUAGUC